RNAcentral lists this ribosomal RNA (301 nucleotides) under uncultured bacterium. RNAcentral describes it as "partial 16S ribosomal RNA". It matches the Rfam family "Bacterial small subunit ribosomal RNA", at positions 509 to 807 of the family's 1533-position model. The record is from RNAcentral.
CAGUAGCCGCGGGAAAACGUAGGGUGCAAGCGUUAAUCGGAAUUACUGGGCGUAAAGCGUGCGCAGGCGAUGUUGUAAGACUGAUGUGAAAUCCCCGGGCUCAACCUGGGAACUGCAUUGGUGACUGCAACGCUGGAGUGCGGCAGAGGGGGAUGGAAUUCCGCGUGUAGCAGUGAAAUGCGUAGAUAUGCGGAGGAACACCGAUGGCGAAGGCAAUCCCCUGGGCCUGCACUGACGCUCAUGCACGAAAGCGUGGGGAGCAAACAGGAUUAGAUACCCCCGUAGUCCCUGUCUCUUAUAC